Non-coding RNA from Kyrpidia tusciae DSM 2912, 179 nucleotides. Lineage: Bacteria; Bacillati; Bacillota; Bacilli; Caryophanales; Alicyclobacillaceae. The record is from Rfam.
UGGGCCCUUCUGUGCUAGUGAUCUAUCGUGAAGUUUUGAGCCAACACCGUUAAAAAGGGAGACCGGGGUCGCCACGGGGCGCAUAAGCCAUCUUCGGGUGGACAUGUAAACCGCGACGCAGGUCACCCACCUGCCGAGGGCAGGUUCAAAACUCAGGGACACGGCAUGGCAGGGCUCUU